UCCUGACUGACCGAUAGUGAACCAGUACCGUGAGGGAAAGGCGAAAAGAACCCCGGCGAGGGGAGUGAAAAAGAACCUGAAACCGUGUACGUACAAGCAGUGGGAGCACGCUUAGGCGUGUGACUGCGUACCUUUUGUAUAAUGGGUCAGCGACUUAUAUUCUGUAGCAAGGUUAACCGAAUAGGGGAGCCGAAGGGAAACCGAGUCUUAACUGGGCGUUAAGUUGCAGGGUAUAGACCCGAAACCCGGUGAUCUAGCCAUGGGCAGGUUGAAGGUUGGGUAACACUAACUGGAGGACCGAACCGACUAAUGUUGAAAAAUUAGCGGAUGACUUGUGGCUGGGGGUGAAAGGCCAAUCAAACCGGGAGAUAGCUGGUUCUCCCCGAAAGCUAUUUAGGUAGCGCCUCGUGAAUUCAUCUCCGGGGGUAGAGCACUGUUUCGGCAAGGGGGUCAUCCCGACUUACCAACCCGAUGCAAACUGCGAAUACCGGAGAAUGUUAUCACGGGAGACACACGGCGGGUGCUAACGUCCGUCGUGAAGAGGGAAACAACCCAGACCGCCAGCUAAGGUCCCAAAGUCAUGGUUAAGUGGGAAACGAUGUGGGAAGGCCCAGACAGCCAGGAUGUUGGCUUAGAAGCAGCCAUCAUUUAAAGAAAGCGUAAUAGCUCACUGGUCGAGUCGGCCUGCGCGGAAGAUGUAACGGGGCUAAACCAUGCACCGAAGCUGCGGCAGCGACGCUUAUGCGUUGUUGGGUAGGGGAGCGUUCUGUAAGCCUGCGAAGGUGUGCUGUGAGGCAUGCUGGAGGUAUCAGAAGUGCGAAUGCUGACAUAAGUAACGAUAAAGCGGGUGAAAAGCCCGCUCGCCGGAAGACCAAGGGUUCCUGUCCAACGUUAAUCGGGGCAGGGUGAGUCGACCCCUAAGGCGAGGCCGAAAGGCGUAGUCGAUGGGAAACAGGUUAAUAUUCCUGUACUUGGUGUUACUGCGAAGGGGGGACGGAGAAGGCUAUGUUGGCCGGGCGACGGUUGUCCCGGUUUAAGCGUGUAGGCUGGUUUUCCAGGCAAAUCCGGAAAAUCAAGGCUGAGGCGUGAUGACGAGGCACUACGGUGCUGAAGCAACAAAUGCCCUGCUUCCAGGAAAAGCCUCUAAGCAUCAGGUAACAUCAAAUCGUACCCCAAACCGACACAGGUGGUCAGGUAGAGAAUACCAAGGCGCUUGAGAGAACUCGGGUGAAGGAACUAGGCAAAAUGGUGCCGUAACUUCGGGAGAAGGCACGCUGAUAUGUAGGUGAAGUCCCUUGCGGAUGGAGCUGAAAUCAGUCGAAGAUACCAGCUGGCUGCAACUGUUUAUUAAAAACACAGCACUGUGCAAACACGAAAGUGGACGUAUACGGUGUGACGCCUGCCCGGUGCCGGAAGGUUAAUUGAUGGGGUCAGCGCAAGCGAAGCUCUUGAUCGAAGCCCCGGUAAACGGCGGCCGUAACUAUAACGGUCCUAAGGUAGCGAAAUUCCUUGUCGGGUAAGUUCCGACCUGCACGAAUGGCGUAAUGAUGGCCAGGCUGUCUCCACCCGAGACUCAGUGAAAUUGAACUCGCUGUGAAGAUGCAGUGUACCCGCGGCAAGACGGAAAGACCCCGUGAACCUUUACUAUAGCUUGACACUGAACAUUGAGCCUUGAUGUGUAGGAUAGGUGGGAGGCUUUGAAGUGUGGACGCCAGUCUGCAUGGAGCCGGCCUUGAAAUACCACCCUUUAAUGUUUGAUGUUCUAACGUGGACCCGUGAUCCGGGUUGCGGACAGUGUCUGGUGGGUAGUUUGACUGGGGCGGUCUCCUCCUAAAGAGUAACGGAGGAGCACGAAGGUUGGCUAAUCCUGGUCGGACAUCAGGAGGUUAGUGCAAUGGCAUAAGCCAGCUUGACUGCGAGCGUGACGGCGCGAGCAGGUGCGAAAGCAGGUCAUAGUGAUCCGGUGGUUCUGAAUGGAAGGGCCAUCGCUCAACGGAUAAAAGGUACUCCGGGGAUAACAGGCUGAUACCGCCCAAGAGUUCAUAUCGACGGCGGUGUUUGGCACCUCGAUGUCGGCUCAUCACAUCCUGGGGCUGAAGUAGGUCCCAAGGGUAUGGCUGUUCGCCAUUUAAAGUGGUACGCGAGCUGGGUUUAGAACGUCGUGAGACAGUUCGGUCCCUAUCUGCCGUGGGCGCUGGAGAACUGAGGGGGGCUGCUCCUAGUACGAGAGGACCGGAGUGGACGCA
Molecule: ribosomal RNA, 2246 nt
Filed under: Shigella sonnei
Lineage: Bacteria; Pseudomonadati; Pseudomonadota; Gammaproteobacteria; Enterobacterales; Enterobacteriaceae
Description: partial 23S ribosomal RNA
Rfam family: Bacterial large subunit ribosomal RNA
Source: RNAcentral